GGUAACAGCUCAACACGUCUUUGAUUUUGUGCAUUCCUCAAAUGGGUUUUCGUGGAUCAGUCCAAUGUAUGGAGGACUGGUAUUUCAUGGUCAAUCUUCUUCGUUUUAGCCAUUGGCGUGCCGCUUGUCUCACACUUUCUCCUCUCCUGCUCCGACUGCGAUGAAAAUCACAGCAGGCCUUACCAUGUAGUUUCUCAGUUAUCACUUUCUUUAUUCUCAAUGCUCAACAAAAGGAACAUCACGUGAGCUAGCACUAAGCCGCUAUAAUUGAGUAUGGGCACGCAAGAGGCUUCGAGAGCAGCACCAUAUCAGAAAGUGCUAAAGCCUGUUUUUGAGAACAGCAAACCCACCGAAAGAAAGAAAAAUAAAUAAAUUUAAAUAAAAAAAUCCAAUAAGCUCUACGCCCUUUAUGCUUUCUAUUACUUUAUUAUUUCUCUACAGUAUUUAAUAAACCAAUUGGUGCAGGUACAAUGGUAGCAGUGGAAAAAGGAGGGGCAUGGAUUCGCCUGGAACAUGCGUGAUAUUCUACUAAUAUAUCAGUAUAAUAAUAUUAUACUAUUUGAUCGUGGUGUUGAUAAGAACCCACCAAUAAUUGCCUUUACUUUAUCGCAAAUUUACUUUUACUUAAAGUAUGAUGUGGAAUUAACCCUCAUACUUUAUGAAAUUACUUUACUGCACAUUAUUUACUGUAUGGUGUAGGUUUAUUACCCACACAACAGUAUCUGUUUAAAAGGGUGGUGCGAGUUUAUCGUCCACGCCUUUACUUUUAUUUAAAUGUAUGGAGCAGAAUUAGUGCCCAUACAAGCACCUUUACUUUAUCGUAAAUUUACUUUUACUUAAAGUAUGAUGUGGAAUUGACCCUCAUACUUUAUGAAAUUUACUUUACCGCACAUUUAUUUUAUUUACUGUAUGGUGUAGGUUUAUUACCCAUACAACAGUAUUUAUUUAAAAGGGUGGCGCGGGUUUAUCGCCCAUGCCUUUACUUUUAUUUAAAAGUAUGGAGCAGAAUUAGUGCCCAUACAAGCACGUUUACUUUAUGAAUUUAAUUUACCGCACAUUUAAUUUUAUUUAAGGUAUGGUGCGGGAUUAACGUCCAUACAGCAAGCAAUUUAAUUUAUGAAUUUAUUUUACCGCACAUUUACAUUUAUUUAAAGUAUGGUGCGGGUUUAUCGUCCAUACCAGUAAUUUAUUUACCAGCAAUUUAUUUUAUGGAUUAAUUGUGUUGUAUGAUGAGUUUUUACAGUAUGCAGAUCAGGACCAGAAGUUCAUUGAUCCUCAUCAUACAAUUACAUCAGGACUUGAAGAUCCUUGAUGAUGAUGUUAAUAUGAGAGCUAGUAGUCUCUCCGGUACUAUAUUUGUAAACAUGUGAUUGGACUUGAGGGUCCUUGAUCCCUGACAUGUAAAUAAGGACCUGGGGUUCCUUAAUGAUGUAACAGUACCGUAUUGUUUCAUAAUGCCGUACACAUGGAUGAUAACUGUACUGGCAAAUGUACUGUCCAUAUGAAUAGAUACGUAUUCAUGACUUAAUGAAUAGUAUCGGAUAUAUGAAUAGUGACGUAUAC
RNAcentral lists this long non-coding RNA (1563 nucleotides) under Prunus persica (peach). RNAcentral's name for it is "long non-coding RNA (PPER_LNC007280)". The record is from RNAcentral. Lineage: Eukaryota; Viridiplantae; Streptophyta; Magnoliopsida; Rosales; Rosaceae.